RNAcentral lists this ribosomal RNA (621 nucleotides) under uncultured Verrucomicrobiota bacterium. RNAcentral describes it as "bacterial SSU rRNA". It matches the Rfam family "Bacterial small subunit ribosomal RNA", at positions 69 to 680 of the family's 1533-position model. The record is from RNAcentral. Lineage: Bacteria; Pseudomonadati; Verrucomicrobiota.
UCGUUCGGUAGCAAUACUGAGCGAAGCUAGUGGCGAACGGGUGCGUAACACAUGAGUCAUCUGCCCAAAAGUGGGGAAUAGCUCGGCGAAAGCCGGAUUAAUACCGCAUGUGGUCAGGCCUUUGGCCGGACCAAAGCCGGGGCAACCUGGCGCUUUUGGAGGAGCUCGUGGCCUAUCAGCUAGUUGGUGAGGUAACGGCCCACCAAGGCUAAGACGGGUAGCUGGUCUGAGAGGACGACCAGCCACACUGGAACUGAGACACGGUCCAGACACCUACGGGUGGCAGCAGUCGAGAAUUUUUCACAAUGGGCGCAAGCCUGAUGGAGCGACGCCGCGUGGGGGAUGAAGGGUUUCGAUCCGUAAACCCCUGUCAUUUGCGAACAAACCUUAUUCAAUAACACUGAAUGAGCUGAUUGUAGCGGAAGAGGAAGGGACGGCUAACUCUGUGCCAGCAGCCGCGGUAAUACAGAGGUCCCAAGCGUUGUUCGGAUUCACUGGGCGUAAAGGGUGCGUAGGUGGCCGUGGAAGUUCGAUGUGAAAGCUCGGAGCUCAACUCCGAAAUGGCAUUGAAUACUCUACGGCUGGAGGGUCGGAGGGGAGACUGGAAUUCACGGUGUAGCA